Molecule: ribosomal RNA, 448 nt
Filed under: uncultured bacterium
Lineage: Bacteria
Description: bacterial SSU rRNA
Rfam family: Bacterial small subunit ribosomal RNA
Source: RNAcentral
CGCCAGACUCCUACGGGAGGCAGCAGUGGGGAAUAUUGCACAAUGGGGGAAACCCUGAUGCAGCGACGCCGCGUGAGUGAAGAAGUAUUUCGGUAUGUAAAGCUCUAUCAGCAGGAAAGAAAAUGACGGUACCUGACUAAGAAGCCCCGGCUAACUACGUGCCAGCAGCCGCGGUAAUACGUAGGGGGCAAGCGUUAUCCGGAUUUACUGGGUGUAAAGGGAGCGUAGACGGUGAAGCAAGUCUGAAGUGAAAGGCGGGGGCUCAACCCCCGGACUGCUUUGGAAACUGUUUGACUGGAGUGCAGGAGAGGUAAGUGGAAUUCCUAGUGUAGCGGUGAAAUGCGUAGAUAUUAGGAGGAACACCAGUGGCGAAGGCGUCUUACUGGACCGAAACUGACGUUGAGGCUCGAAAGCGUGGGGAGCAAACAGGAUUAGAUACCCUUGUAAG